UACGAAGGGGGCUAGCGUUGUUCGGAAUUACUGGGCGUAAAGCGCGUGUAGGCGGGUUGUUAAGUCCGCUGUGAAAGCCCGGUGCUCAACGCCGGAGGUCGGUGGAUACUGGCAGUCUUGAAGUGGCUAGGGGAAAUGGAAUUACCGGUGUAGCGGUGAAAUGCGUAGAUAUCGGGAGGAACACCAGAGGCGAAGGCGGCUUUCUGGCCUGUAACUGACGCUGAGGCGCGAAGGCUGGGGUAGCGAACAGG
RNAcentral lists this ribosomal RNA (251 nucleotides) under uncultured bacterium. RNAcentral describes it as "partial 16S ribosomal RNA". It matches the Rfam family "Bacterial small subunit ribosomal RNA", at positions 524 to 776 of the family's 1533-position model. The record is from RNAcentral.